GAUGAACGCUGGCGGCGUGCCUAAUACAUGCAAGUCGAGCGAACGGACGAGAAGCUUGCUUCUCUGAUGUUAGCGGCGGACGGGUGAGUAACACGUGGAUAACCUACCUAUAAGACUGGGAUAACUUCGGGAAACCGGAGCUAAUACCGGAUAAUAUUUUGAACCGCAUGGUUCAAAAGUGAAAGACGGUCUUGCUGUCACUUAUAGAUGGAUCCGCGCUGCAUUAGCUAGUUGGUAAGGUAACGGCUUACCAAGGCAACGAUGCAUAGCCGACCUGAGAGGAUGAUCAGCCACACUGGAACUGAGACACGGUCCAGACUCCUACGGGAGGCAGCAGUAGGGAAUAUUCCGCAAUGGGCGAAAGCCUGACGGAGCAACGCCGCGUGAGUGAUGAAGGUCUUCGGAUCGUAAAGCUCUGUUAUUAGGGAAGAACAUAUGUGUAAGUAACUGUGCACAUCUUGACGGUACCUAAUCAGAAAGCCACGGCUAACUACGUG
Molecule: ribosomal RNA, 497 nt
Filed under: uncultured bacterium
Lineage: Bacteria
Description: partial 16S ribosomal RNA
Rfam family: Bacterial small subunit ribosomal RNA
Source: RNAcentral